GUGGAGACUUUCUUGCUGCUUUCUUGGGGAAUUUUCACAGGGCUUUCUCUGCCAGUGCCUUCCGAAGACUCCUGAUGCAUUGGCCCAUACAACCUGGGGAAGGAGGAGGGCACUGCUGUGCCCAUCAACCAGCCUUGCAGCUGGUAGUCUCCAAGAUAGGCUGGACGCUAGCCUACCUGGAAUCCCCAUGAACUGGUGACACACUGGUCAUCGGGUUAUUGGAUAGCAAGAAUGGAGUGCACUGUGAUUGCUGGUCUUCAGGACAGUCGCAAAGUCUGCGAACAUGCCCUGAGCUGGGAUAACUGCUCAGUCUUACAGAUAACCAGGAACUCACAGAGCAAGAUUUUUGUUUGGUUUGAGGAGACUGAGUCUUGCUGGGCCCCAUUGACCCUUCCCCUUCAGCCUGAAAGGAGCCAGGAAAACAGGAAUGGGCGAGCCAAAUCUUUUGUUCUUUGCUUAGAUUCUACCCAACAGGGAUUAAUGUUGUUAACAUUUUGAGAUUAUCAUUGCUUAAAGAGAAGUGUUGGCACCGAGUUUUGAGUUUCUUCCUCUCUGCAGCACACACCCCCUCAGGCACUGGAUAAUUUCCGUCACUGCAAAUGGAUACCAGGGAAUCACUGACCAGAUCAUGAUAAUGAGAAAGAAUCCCUUGUCCCUGAGCAUUUAGUGUGUUCCCAACUUUAGGACUGUUUCAAAUUAUAUUGGUUAUAUUAAAAAUAAACGGUGAGCACAUGGCAGUCAAAAAGGAUAGGAUCAAGAAUUUGAGACCAGCAAAUCUGAGACUGUUUCAAAAAUGAAACAGAAGGAAGCAAAUAACUGUGUGACUUGGUCACUCGUGUCUGAUAAAGGGCAUGAGCUAUAACUCGGGAGGUAGACCAAGACAAGCUAUGUUCCAAGGAUGCAGUCAGCUUUCACCCUCUUAUUUUAUCCUAGAGAAAAUUUAGUCAACAAAGCUAAAUUACCCCUCCGGUCAUAGGACAAGCAAGUAAAUGUGGCAGCCAAAUAAUUGAAAUCAGAGGACUGACUCCCUUUUACUUCCUGUCUUGUGCUCCUACCUGGUUUAUAUUUAAAGUCAAUUCCUAUAUCAAAAACAUAUACAGAGCUGGAAAUGUAGCACCUGCCUAGUGUGUGCACUUCCCUGAGAUCAGUACCCAGAAUAACAAAGAAAAAGAAUAUUAAAAAUGUAUUUAAGGACUGGAGAGAAGGCUCUCAACCAAAAAUAUAAGAGUUCGGUUCCCAGCACCCACAGCUGUCUCUCCA
Molecule: long non-coding RNA, 1260 nt
Organism: Meriones unguiculatus (Mongolian gerbil)
Lineage: Eukaryota; Metazoa; Chordata; Mammalia; Rodentia; Muridae
Exons: 4
Source: RefSeq, a predicted model, not a curated record